Long non-coding RNA from Alligator sinensis (Chinese alligator), 2403 nucleotides. RefSeq lists it as uncharacterized. The record is from RefSeq and is a predicted model, not a curated record. The transcript has 4 exons. NCBI's taxonomy places the organism in Eukaryota, Metazoa, Chordata, Crocodylia, Alligatoridae.
GGACAGAGGAGGUUGUUCACUCAGCUCGUCAGCAGAAGAUACCAAAAUCCAGCCAGGAAAUCACAAGCUAACAUGCAGUGCAGUAGUAUCUCUAAUAGGAAAAAAAACCACACUUUCCUUACCGCACGAAUGACAAAAGGUUAACAGUUAAAGUUCAAGCACUAUGAAGCACAAGCACACCAUGAAGUAAUAACAGAGCACAGAUGUGAAAAAUCUUCAUCCAUGGACAAAAGCGUAUCGUGCACAAAGCUGAGACCAAGCCACAAGACACUUGGGUAUGUUAAAAAAAAACAAACCAUAUGCUGCUCCAGAGAAAGAUCAUUAAACCAGAACUAUGAGACAUGACGAUCAUCAGAAACAAGGAUAUCCUCUUUCCCUUCAUUUUCCUGUCUUAACUAACCAGAAGAUAUUAUGGUAGGAGUCUUAUGCUGGAGUGCUUUACAAUUCCAGAUUCAAGUCACAACAUUAUAUUUAAAGACCAAAGGAAAGGAACCUGACUUUUCUUUUUUUCUUCUUUUUUUUUAAUUUGGCAUGUUCCAAUCAAAUCAGCCAAAUCAAUUCCAAAUCCGUGAGUCAUUCAAGAACCACAUGUGGCCCUACUACUGGCAAACAUCCUCCACCUCCACCUGGGGCUUCAGGUGCUUCCAGAUCCUUUGCUGAGCAUCUUAUGUGCAGGCCCGCCCAAGCCUGGAGGCUUGGGGUUCGGAUGUCCCCGAGUUUCGGUUGACCUCAGGCAUAUGGCCACAGGAACAAGCUAGGGAGGAAUCUCCCAUUUCCAUAAAGUCAGCAUAUAGCCAAGAUCUUCCCAUUGGAAGUGAAAAUGGGAGGCUAACUAUGCCUUGCCUCAGUCAGGGUACUAUAUCCCCUGCCAUGCUCACAGUUUUCCCUAGCCAGUGGGAAAACCACCUUUCGUAUCAGGAACCGGACAUGUUGAUCUCUAAGUAAAUCUGAAUUUCAUGAUGUAUCCAUGGGCACGGAGCCUGUCAUUUUCUCCACGGCCUGUUUGAGGGAUGGGGACUGAGGUACACUUCCCAAGAUGAUAGCUACAAUAUUUUACCCACAAUGAGAUUAUCAGGUUUUGCAAUGUUAUCUUUUUAAUUUCAGUCUGAGACCACAUGAAGGUCCACUUGACUGAUUUUAUUGCCUUGCCUAAGAGACACCAAACCCUUGAUGAGAAAUGACUUGCUGAAGCUAAUCACGGAAAAGAUCGAGAUGCCUUCAGUGGGCACGGGGAAUCACUUCAAAGAACUUGCCUCCAACAAAACAUCUCUUCCACUUACAACGUGUGCCCUUAGGGUUCCAGGGCAGCCAGGGGGUGCCGCUUUAUUCCUUGCAGCUAUUGAAUAUCCAAUUAGCUAUACAAAAAAAAAUAUCCUGUUCUGUCUAUGACUGACCACAGAACUGCAACCAAUCCAGGCAAAAUUACCUCCUGCCUACAUGAUCCACAUAUGCUUGACCUCAAGGCUUGAUUAUCACAAUGCACCACAGCCAGGAAUGAAAACAUUAACCCAGAAAAUUGUUCCAACUGGUUUGAAUGCAGAAACUUAGCUAUUCAGCCAGACGUACUGCUGAAAAGACAUUAUUCCAGGACUCUGCUCUCUAUACUGGCUCUCUGUUAACUGCAGUCAAGGUCAAGGUUCUGGUAUUGAUCUUCAAAGCCCUUCACCAAUGGCUCAAGCUACCUGAGAGACCACCUCUGCAACCAGGACCUGUAAAACAUGUAUGGUCCUUGGGAACAAUGGGAUUAUAAGGCUCAAGAAUGAAACUCAUGCAAGCAAGACAAAGAUUUCUCAGCCCCAGAACUCAUUGCUGGGAAAGAUUAAAGUGAUUGCAGCCUUCAGAGUGAAGCAUAACCCUUAGUUGUUGGCACAGCUUUCCCACAAUUAAAGUAAAUUCCCACCAAUACAAAGGCAGAAGAGAGAGAGCAAGAGAAGGGAGGUGGGGACGGAUAAAAAACCAAAACCAAAGGUCCUCCAUUUUUACCAUUAACUUCAGCGAGGGGCGAGCUAAGCAAGGCGAAGGUCCUCUGAAAACACUUUAAAAAGAUAAGCUUACCUUUACGUAUCUAAGGUUCUUAGAUAUUAUAAUACAAAAGAUGAGACAGCAAUAAAAAAGGUUUACAUCACAGAAGGGUGAAAUCAAUGACCGGUCUCACUGACUUCACUGGAACUUGGAUUUCAGCCAGCAUGUUUACUGUGCUGCUGGGGCUGACCCACACUGGCACUCCCACUCAUGCUAGCUGACACCCGUGACAGCACAACGAAAGGAACUUUGCAUGAAAAGCCUAUUCAAGAGAGAGCCUAAUUCACUAGAGGGAGUCCUUGUUCAAUGUAAUCUUAAUUGCUUCCAGUCCUGCUGGCCAAAAUUGUCACAAAAAGGACAAAUAAACAACUUCCUCAACAA